RNAcentral lists this ribosomal RNA (322 nucleotides) under uncultured Chloroflexota bacterium. Its description in RNAcentral is "bacterial SSU rRNA". It matches the Rfam family "Bacterial small subunit ribosomal RNA", at positions 28 to 351 of the family's 1533-position model. The record is from RNAcentral. Lineage: Bacteria; Bacillati; Chloroflexota.
GAUGAACGCUGGCGGCGUGCCUAAUACAUGCAAGUCGAACGGAGUAUGCAGUAAUGUAUGCUUAGUGGCGAACGGGUGAGUAACGCGUUGGUGACCUGCCCCGAAGAGUGGGAUAACAGAUCGAAAGGUCUGCUAAUACCGCAUAAGCUGUACCCUGUUAGAGAAGGUACAGGAAAAGGAGCAAUCCGCUUUGGGAGGGACCUGCGUCCCAUCAGCUAGUUGGUAAGGUAACGGCUUACCAAGGCGAAGACGGGUAGGGGACCUGAGAGGGUGGCCCCCCACAAUGGAACUGAAACACGGUCCAUACACCUACGGGUGGCAG